CUACGGGAUGCUCCAGUGGGGAAUAUUGCACAAUGGGCGCAAGCCUGAUGCAGCCAUGCCGCGUGUAUGAAGAAGGCCUUCGGGUUGUAAAGUACUUUCAGCGGGGAGGAAGGGAGUAAAGUUAAUACCUUUGCUCAUUGACGUUACCCGCAGAAGAAGCACCGGCUAACUCCGUGCCAGCAGCCGCAGUAAUACGGAGGGUGCAAGCGUUAAUCGGAGUUACUGGGCGUAAAGCGCACGCAGGCGGUUUGUUAAGUCAGAUGUGAAAUCCCCGGGCUCAACCUGGGAACUGCAUCUGAUACUGGCAAGCUUGAGUCUCGUAGAGGGGGGUAGAAUUCCAGGUGUAGCGGUGAAAUGCGUAGAGAUCUGGAGGAAUACCGGUGGCGAAGGCGGCCCCCUGGACGAAGACUGACGCUCAGGUGCGAAAGCGUGGGGAGCAAACAGGAUUAGAUACCCCGGUAGUC
This 464-nucleotide ribosomal RNA is filed under the name uncultured bacterium. Its description in RNAcentral is "partial 16S ribosomal RNA". It matches the Rfam family "Bacterial small subunit ribosomal RNA", at positions 339 to 795 of the family's 1533-position model. The record is from RNAcentral.